AGAGUUUGAUCAUGGCUCAGGAUGAACGCUGGCGGCGUGCCUAACACAUGCAAGUCGAACGAAGCACCUUUUAAGAUUCUUCGGAUGAUUGAUCGGUGACUGAGUGGCGGACGGGUGAGUAACGCGUGGGUAACCUGCCCUGUACAGGGGGAUAACAGUUGGAAACGGCUGCUAAUACCGCAUAAGCGCACGAGAGGACAUCCUUUCGUGUGAAAAACUCCGGUGGUACAGGAUGGGCCCGCGUCUGAUUAGCUGGUUGGCAGGGUAACGGCCUACCAAGGCGACGAUCAGUAGCCGGUCUGAGAGGAUGAACGGCCACAUUGGAACUGAGACACGGUCCAAACUCCUACGGGAGGCAGCAGUGGGGAAUAUUGCACAAUGGGGGAAACCCUGAUGCAGCAACGCCGCGUGAGUGAAGAAGUAUUUCGGUAUGUAAAGCUCUAUCAGCAGGGAAGAUAAUGACGGUACCUGACUAAGAAGCUCCGGCUAAAUACGUGCCAGCAGCCGCGGUAAUACGUAUGGAGCAAGCGUUAUCCGGAUUUACUGGGUGUAAAGGGUGCGUAGGUGGCAGUGCAAGUCAGAUGUGAAAGGCCGGGGCUCAACCCCGGAGCUGCAUUUGAAACUGCAUAGCUAGAGUACAGGAGAGGCUGGCGGAAUUCCUAGUGUAGCGGUGAAAUGCGUAGAUAUUAGGAGGAACACCAGUGGCGAAGGCGGCCUGCUGGACUGUUACUGACACUGAGGCACGAAAGCGUGGGGAGCAAACAGGAUUAGAUACCCUGAUAGUCCACGCCGUAAACGAUGAAUACUAGGUGUCGGGGCCGUAUAGGCUUCGGUGCCGUCGCA
RNAcentral lists this ribosomal RNA (843 nucleotides) under uncultured bacterium. Its description in RNAcentral is "bacterial SSU rRNA". It matches the Rfam family "Bacterial small subunit ribosomal RNA", at positions 8 to 853 of the family's 1533-position model. The record is from RNAcentral.